AGGAUGAACGCUAGCUACAGGCUUAACACAUGCAAGUCGAGGGGCAGCAUGACGAGAGCUUGCUCUUGUUGAUGGCGACCGGCGCACGGGUGCGUAACGCGUAUCCAACCUUCCCCCUGCCAGGGAACAGCCCGUUGAAAGACGGAUUAAUGCCCUAUGUUGUGCGAAGAUGGCAUCAGAUUUGCACGAAAGAUUUUAUCGGCAUGGGAUGGGGAUGCGUAGGAUUAGGUAGUCGGCGGGGUAACGGCCCACCGAGCCAUCGAUCCUUAGGGGUUCUGAGAGGAAGGUCCCCCACACUGGUACUGAGACACGGACCAGACUCCUACGGGAGGCAGCAGUGAGGAAUAUUGGUCAAUGGGCGGAAGCCUGAACCAGCCAAGUAGCGUGCAGGAUGACGGCCCUAUGGGUUGUAAACUGCUUUUAUAGGGGGAUAAAGUGAGGUAUGCAUACCUUUUUGCAUGUACCCUAUGAAUAAGGACCGGCUAAUUCCGUGCCAGCAGCCGCGGUAAUACGGAAGGUCCGGGCGUUAUCCGGAUUUAUUGGGUUUAAAGGGAGCGUAGGCUGGAUGCUAAGCGUGACGUGAAAUGCCGUGGCUCAACCAUGGCACUGCGUCGCGAACUGGUGUUCUUGAGUAUGCAGGAGGCAGGCGGAAUUCGUGGUGUAGCGGUGAAAUGCUUAGAUAUCACGAGGAACUCCGAUUGCGAAGGCAGCUUGCUGCUGCUUUACUGACGCUGAAGCUCGAAGGCGCGGGUAUCGAACAGGAUUAGAUACCCUGGUAGUCCGCGCGGUAAACGAUGGAUGCCCGCUGUUUGCCAUUUAUUGGUGAGCGGCCAAGCGAAAGCGUUAAGCAUCCCACCUGGGGAGUACGCCGGCAACGGUGAAACUCAAAGGAAUUGACGGGGGCCCGCACAAGCGGAGGAACAUGUGGUUUAAUUCGAUGAUACGCGAGGAACCUUACCCGGGCUUGAACUGCAGCAGAACGAUUCAGAGAUGAUGAGGUCCUUCGGGACUGCUGUGGAGGUGCUGCAUGGUUGUCGUCAGCUCGUGCCGUGAGGUGUCGGCUUAAGUGCCAUAACGAGCGCAACCCCUUUCCAUAGUUGCCAUCAGGUUAUGCUGGCACUCUGUGGAUACUGCCGCCGCAAGGUGGAGGAGGGUGGGGAUGACGUCAAAUCAGCACGGCCCUUACGUCCGGGGCUACACACGUGUUACAAUGGGCGGUACAGCGAGUUGGUGUCUGGUGACAGUCAUCUAAUCCUGAAAGCCGUUCCCAGUUCGGAUCGGGGUCUGCAACCCGACCCCGUGAAGCUGGAUUCGCUAGUAAUCGCGCAUCAGCCAUGGCGCGGUGAAUACGUUCCCGGGCCUUGUACACACCGCCCGUCAAGCCAUGAAAGCCGGGGGCGCCUGAAGUCCGUGACCGCGAGGGUCGGCCUAGGGUGAAACCGGUGAUUGGGGCU
RNAcentral lists this ribosomal RNA (1454 nucleotides) under uncultured rumen bacterium. RNAcentral describes it as "bacterial SSU rRNA". It matches the Rfam family "Bacterial small subunit ribosomal RNA". The record is from RNAcentral.